GCAUCUGUGCAUGCAGCAUAUCAAUAAGCGGAGGAAAAGAAACUAACAAGGAUUCCCCUAGUAACGGCGAGUGAAGCGGGAAGAGCUCAAAUUUGAAAUCUUAAAGGGUUUCCCUUUACGAAUUGUAGUUUAAAGAAGUGUUUUCUGUUGAGGUUUUGGUAAAAGUUCUUUGGAAUAGGACAUCAUAGAGGGUGAGAAUCCCGUAUUUGACCUUUACUUUCAACUUUGUGAUACACUUUCAAAGAGUCGGAUUGUUUGGGAAUGCAGUCCAAAAUGGGUGGUAAAUUACAUCUAAAGCUAAAUAUUGGCGAGAGACCGAUAGCGAACAAGUACCGUGAGGGAAAGAUGAAAAGAACUUUGAAAAGAGAGUUAAACAGCUACGUGAAAUUGUCAAAAGGGAAGCGUUUGACACCAGUGUUGUUUUUCUGAAAAUCAAUUAAAGAACUGUUUAUGCUAAGUUGUUUAGACUUUAUCAGCUAUCUGUUUAGUUUUGAGCUUUUCUUUAAUGCACUUUUCAGUUAACAAGUCAACAUCAAUUUCUUUUGCUGUAAAAAAGCUUGAGGAAGGUGGCUUGAGAUUCGUCUUAAGUGUUUAUAGCCUCUUGCCUAUGCAGUCGGAGAGAUUGAGGUCUGCAGCGUCAGAUCCUUCGGGGCUAAAUGCAUUUGUGCUAAGUUAUAGCAUUUCAUAGACAACUUGCUGACUAUGAUUUGUCUUGUAGCUUACUCGCUUAUGUUAUUUUACCUACGCUUAGGAUGUUGACAGCAGUAUAGACUGU
This 775-nucleotide ribosomal RNA is filed under the name uncultured Neocallimastigales. RNAcentral's name for it is "partial large subunit ribosomal RNA". It matches the Rfam family "Eukaryotic large subunit ribosomal RNA", at positions 24 to 629 of the family's 3401-position model. The record is from RNAcentral. Lineage: Eukaryota; Fungi; Neocallimastigomycota; Neocallimastigomycetes; Neocallimastigales.